AAGAAACCAACAGGGAUUGCCUCAGUAACGGCGAGUGAAGCGGCAAAAGCUCAAAUUUGAAAUCUGGCUCUUUCAGGGUCCGAGUUGUAAUUUGUAGAAGAUGCUUUGGGUGUGGCUCUGGUUUAAGUUCUUUGGAAUAUUACAUCAUAGAGGGUGAGAAUCCCGUAUGUGACCAGUCGCCGCGCCCGUGUAAAGCUCUUUCAACGAGUCGAGUUGUUUGGGAAUGCAGCUCAAAAUGGGAGGUAUAUUUCUUCUAAAGCUAAAUAUUGGCCAGAGACCGAUAGCGCACAAGUAGAGUGAUCGAAAGAUGAAAAGCACUUUGGAAAGAGAGUUAAACAGUACGUGAAAUUGUUGAAAGGGAAGCGCUUGCAACCAGACUUGCACGCAGUUGAUCAUCCGGUGUUCUCACCGGGGCACUCUGCUGCGUUCAGGCCAGCAUCGGUUUUGGUGGUUGGAUAAAGGCCUUGGGAAUGUAGCUUCUUUCGGGGAGUGUUAUAGCCCUUGGUGCAAUGCAGCCUACCGGGACCGAGGACCGCGCUUCGGCUAG
RNAcentral lists this ribosomal RNA (547 nucleotides) under Tricellula curvata. RNAcentral describes it as "partial large subunit ribosomal RNA". It matches the Rfam family "Eukaryotic large subunit ribosomal RNA", at positions 59 to 609 of the family's 3401-position model. The record is from RNAcentral. Lineage: Eukaryota; Fungi; Ascomycota; Leotiomycetes; Helotiales; Calloriaceae.